CGCAGAUAUCAGGAGGAACACCGAUGGCGAAGGCAGAUCUCUGGGCCGUAACUGACGCUGAGGAGCGAAAGCGUGGGGAGCGAACAGGAUUAGAUACCCUGGUAGUCCACGCCGUAAACGUUGGGCGCUAGAUGUAGGGACCUUUCCACGGUUUCUGUGUCGUAGCUAACGCAUUAAGCGCCCCGCCUGGGGAGUACGGCCGCAAGGCUAAAACUCAAAGGAAUUGACGGGGGCCCGCACAAGCGGCGGAGCAUGCGGAUUAAUUCGAUGCAACGCGAAGAACCUUACCAAGGCUUGACAUACACCGGAAACGGCCAGAGAUGGUCGCCCCCUUGUGGUCGGUGUACAGGUGGUGCAUGGUUGUCGUCAGCUCGUGUCGUGAGAUGUUGGGUUAAGUCCCGCAACGAGCGCAACCCUCGUUCUAUGUUGCCAGCGCGUUAUGGCGGGGACUCAUAGGAGACUGCCGGGGUCAACUCGGAGGAAGGUGGGGAUGACGUCAAAUCAUCAUGCCCCUUAUGUCUUGGGCUUCACGCAUGCUACAAUGGCCGGUACAAAGGGCUGCGAUACCGUAAGGUGGAGCGAAUCCCAAAAAGCCGGUCUCAGUUCGGAUUGAGGUCUGCAACUCGACCUCAUGAAGUCGGAGUCGCUAGUAAUCGCAGAUCAGCAACGCUGCGGUGAAUACGUUCCCGGGCCUUGUACACACCGCCCGUCAAGUCAUGAAAGUCGGUAACAC
RNAcentral lists this ribosomal RNA (733 nucleotides) under uncultured Gluconacetobacter sp. RNAcentral's name for it is "bacterial SSU rRNA". It matches the Rfam family "Bacterial small subunit ribosomal RNA", at positions 689 to 1420 of the family's 1533-position model. The record is from RNAcentral. Lineage: Bacteria; Pseudomonadati; Pseudomonadota; Alphaproteobacteria; Acetobacterales; Acetobacteraceae.